UCCAUCGACCAUCACCACUCCCAUCUCUUUCAAUGGUUCUUCACUCUCUCUUAUAUAAGGCUUCAAUUUUUCACCUAUCUAAUUCCAUAUAAUUCAAUUUAUGUUGAAACUGAUAGUUACGAAGGGAUUGGAAGAAAAAAAAUGUUGGUGGUAGACCCUUCUCAUAAGUUGUAUACACGUAUGAGAUUAUGGAAAUAUUUUAAUCAAUUUGUUGUGGAGCUGCAAUUCCCAAGGUGAUUUUGGGCAAGCCAUAAAUUUAAUGGUAGUGGCGCUUGAGCAUAGAUAUGAUGUUUGGACGAGGGAUUACGGAUAUAGGCCUGUAGAUAUGAAAUAAUGUAGUAAGGCUUAUAUUGUACUGUUUAUGCUUUUGAUCUGUACGAACAUGACAUCCCAAU
Molecule: non-coding RNA, 395 nt
Organism: Lactuca sativa (garden lettuce)
Lineage: Eukaryota; Viridiplantae; Streptophyta; Magnoliopsida; Asterales; Asteraceae
Source: RefSeq, a predicted model, not a curated record